GUGCCAGCAGCCGCGGUAAUACGGAGGGUGCAAGCGUUAUCCGGAAUUACUGGGUUUAAAGGGUGCGUAGGCGGCCUUAUAAGUCAGUGGUGAAAGUUUGCCGCUUAACGGUAAAAUUGCCAUUGAUACUGUAGGGCUUGAAUUAGGAUGAGGUUAGCGGAAUGAGACAUGUAGCGGUGAAAUGCAUAGAUAUGUCUUAGAACACCGAUUGCGAAGGCAGCUAACUAGACCUUAAUUGACGCUGAGGCACGAAAGCGUGGGUAGCGAACAGGAUUAGAUACCCUGGUAGUCCACGCCCUAAACGAUGUCUACUAGUUGUCGGUCCUUCAUUGGAUUGGUAACGCAGCUAACGCGUGAAGUAGACCGCCUGGGGAGUACGGUCGCAAGAUUAAAACUCAAAGGAAUUGACGGGGA
Molecule: ribosomal RNA, 414 nt
Filed under: Tetraselmis sp. GSL018
Lineage: Eukaryota; Viridiplantae; Chlorophyta; Chlorodendrophyceae; Chlorodendrales; Chlorodendraceae
Description: partial Bacterial small subunit ribosomal RNA
Rfam family: Bacterial small subunit ribosomal RNA
Source: RNAcentral